CAGUCGCCGCGGUAAGACAGAGGAUGCAAGCGUUAUCCGGAAUGAUUGGGCGUAAAGCGUGCGUAGGCGGCUUUUUAAGUCGGAUGUGAAAUCCCUGAGCUUAACUUAGGAAUUGCAUUCGAUACUGGGAAGCUAGAGUAUGGGAGAGGAUGGUAGAAUUCCAGGUGUAGCGGUGAAAUGCGUAGAGAUCUGGAGGAAUACCGAUGGCGAAGGCAGCCAUCUGGCCUAAUACUGACGCUGAGGUACGAAAGCAUGGGGAGCAAACAGGAUUAGAUACCCCCGUAGUCCCUGUCUCUUAUAC
RNAcentral lists this ribosomal RNA (301 nucleotides) under uncultured bacterium. RNAcentral describes it as "partial 16S ribosomal RNA". It matches the Rfam family "Bacterial small subunit ribosomal RNA", at positions 509 to 807 of the family's 1533-position model. The record is from RNAcentral.